RNAcentral lists this ribosomal RNA (207 nucleotides) under uncultured Geothrix sp. Its description in RNAcentral is "partial 16S ribosomal RNA". It matches the Rfam family "Bacterial small subunit ribosomal RNA", at positions 568 to 774 of the family's 1533-position model. Lineage: Bacteria; Pseudomonadati; Acidobacteriota; Holophagae; Holophagales; Holophagaceae. The record is from RNAcentral.
CGCGUAGGCGGUUUUUUAAGUCGGAUGUUCAAUCCCCAGGCUCAACCUGGGAACUGCAUCCGAGACUGGAAGGCUAGAGUACUGGAGAGGGUGGUGGAAUUCCUCGUGUAGCGGUGAAAUGCGUAGAGAUGAGGAGGAACACCAGUGGCGAAGGCGGCCACCUGGACAGUAACUGACGCUGAGGCGCGAAAGCGUGGGUAGCAAACA